This 377-nucleotide unclassified non-coding RNA is filed under the name uncultured Pseudomonadota bacterium. Its description in RNAcentral is "uncultured proteobacterium contains 16S-23S intergenic spacer region". The record is from RNAcentral. Lineage: Bacteria; Pseudomonadati; Pseudomonadota.
UCCGGCUUGGCGCCGGCAGUUCCUCUAGAGUGCCCAACUAAAUGCUGGCAACUAAAGACGAGGGUUGCGCUCGUUGCGGGACUUAACCCAACAUCUCACGACACGAGCUGACGACAGCCAUGCAGCACCUGUGUCCAGGUCCCGUAAGGGAAGGAAUCCAUCUCUGAAAACCGUCCUGGCAUGUCAAACGCUGGUAAGGUUCUGCGCGUUGCAUCGAAUUAAUCCACAUAAUCCACCGCCUGUGCGGGUCCCCGUCAAUUCCUUUGAGUUUUAACCUUGCGGCCGUACUCCCCAGGCGGUCAACUUCACGCGUUAGCUUCGUUACCAAGGAAUUGCUUCCCCGACAACCAGUUGACAUAGUUUAGGGCGUGGACUAC